GAUGAACGCUGGCGGCGUGCCUAAUACAUGCAAGUCGAGCGAACGGACGAGAAGCUUGCUUUUCUGAUGUUAGCGGCGGACGGGUGAGUAACACGUGGAUAACCUACCUAUAAGACUGGGAUAACUUCGGGAAACCGGAGCUAAUACCGGAUAAUAUUUUGAACCGCAUGGUUCAAAAGUGAAAGACGGUCUUGCUGUCACUUAUAGAUGGAUCCGCGCUGCAUUAGCUAGUUGGUAAGGUAACGGCUUACCAAGGCAACGAUGCAUAGCCGACCUGAGAGGGUGAUCGGCCACACUGGAACUGAGACACGGUCCAGACUCCUACGGGAGGCAGCAGUAGGGAAUCUUCCGCAAUGGGCGAAAGCCUGACGGAGCAACGCCGCGGGAGUGAUGAAGGUCUUCGGAUCGUAAAACUCUGUUAUUAGGGAAGAACAUAUGUGUAAGUAACUGUGCACAUCUUGACGGUACCUAAUCAGAAAGCCACGGCUAACUACGU
Molecule: ribosomal RNA, 496 nt
Filed under: uncultured bacterium
Lineage: Bacteria
Description: partial 16S ribosomal RNA
Rfam family: Bacterial small subunit ribosomal RNA
Source: RNAcentral